RNAcentral lists this ribosomal RNA (664 nucleotides) under uncultured bacterium. Its description in RNAcentral is "bacterial SSU rRNA". It matches the Rfam family "Bacterial small subunit ribosomal RNA", at positions 94 to 743 of the family's 1533-position model. The record is from RNAcentral.
AGUGGCGGACGAGUGAGUAACACGUGAGCAACCUGCCCGGAAAUGGGGGAUAGCCUUUCGAAAGGAAGAUUAAUACCGCAUGUGAUCUAACAGGACAUCCUGCUAAGAUUAAAGAUGGCUUCGGCUAUCGUUUCCGGAUGGGCUCGCGGCCUAUCAGUUAGUUGGUGAGGUAACGGCUCACCAAGGCAACGACGGGUAGCUGGUCUGAGAGGAUGAUCAGUCACGCUGGAACUGAGACACGGUCCAGACACCUACGGGUGGCAGCAGUCGAGAAUCAUUCACAAUGGGCGAAAGCCUGAUGGUGCGACGCCGCGUGGAGGAUGACGGUCCUAGGACUGUAAACUCCUGUCAUCAGAGAGUAAAGCACAGUCGUUAAUAGCGGCUUGUGCCUGAUAGUAUCUGAAGAGGAAGGGGCGGCUAACUCCGUGCCAGCAGCCGCGGUAACACGGAGGCCCCGAGCGUUGUUCGGAAUUACUGGGCGUAAAGGGUGCGUAGGCGGUUAGGUAAGUCAGUUGUGAAAGCCCGGGGCUCAACCUCGGAAUUGCAGCCGAUACUGCUUGACUAGAGGAUUGGAGAGGAGACUGGAAUUCUCGGUGUAGCAGUGAAAUGCGUGGAUAUCGAGAGGAAGACCAAUGGCGAAGGCAGGUCUCUGGACAACUCCUGA